This 405-nucleotide ribosomal RNA is filed under the name uncultured bacterium. Its description in RNAcentral is "partial 16S ribosomal RNA". It matches the Rfam family "Bacterial small subunit ribosomal RNA", at positions 30 to 526 of the family's 1533-position model. The record is from RNAcentral.
AUUGAACGCUGGCGGCAGGCUUAACACAUGCAAGUCGAACGAGUGGCGGACGGGUGAGUAAUGCUUGGGAAUCUAGCUUAUGGAGGGGGAUAACUACGGGCAACUGUAGCUAAUACCGCGUACCAUAGGAUGAGCCCAAGUGUGAUUAGGUAGUUGGUGAGGGAAAGGCUCACCAAGCCGACGAUCUCUAGCUGUUCUGAGAGGAUGACCAGCAACACUGGGACGGAGACACGGCCCAGACUCCUACGGGAGGCAGCAGUGGGGAAGAUUGCGCAAUGGGGGCAACCUGACGCAGCCAUGCCGCGUGGAUGAAGAAGGCCUUCGGGUUGUAAAGUUCUUUCGGUAGCGAGGCGUUAACUACAGAAGAAGCACCGGCUAACUACGUGCCAGCAGCCGCGGUAAUAC